GACGAACGCUGGCGGCGUGCUUAACUCAUGCCAGUCGAACGGGCCCGCUCUUUUUUGGGGGCGGGUUGAGUGGCGAAAGGGUGAGUAUCACGUGAGCAACCUGCCCUCCUCUCCUGGAUAACCGCUUGAAAGGGCGGCUAAUACGGGGUGUUCCGGUUGGUCCGCAUGGUCUGGUCGGGAAAGAUUCAUCGUCUUGGUGUUUCGGAGGGGGACGGGCUCGCGGUCUAUCAGCUUGUUGGUGGGUUGCUCUCCAACGCGGCGGUGAAUAGCCGACCGGAUGAGACGAUCGGCCGCACUGCUGCUAAUACUCUU
Molecule: ribosomal RNA, 312 nt
Filed under: uncultured Coriobacteriaceae bacterium
Lineage: Bacteria; Bacillati; Actinomycetota; Coriobacteriia; Coriobacteriales; Coriobacteriaceae
Description: bacterial SSU rRNA
Rfam family: Bacterial small subunit ribosomal RNA
Source: RNAcentral